This 76-nucleotide transfer RNA is filed under the name alpha proteobacterium HIMB114. RNAcentral describes it as "tRNA-Phe". It matches the Rfam family "tRNA". From Rfam's summary of the family: Transfer RNA (tRNA) molecules are approximately 80 nucleotides in length. The record is from RNAcentral. Lineage: Bacteria; Pseudomonadati; Pseudomonadota; Alphaproteobacteria; Candidatus Pelagibacterales; Candidatus Pelagibacteraceae. RNAcentral also lists the same sequence under 1 other name.
GGUCUCGUAGCUCAGUUGGUAGAGCAGAGCCCUGAAAAGGCUUGUGUCGUUGGUUCAAUUCCAACCGAGACCACCA